AAUCAACGCUGGCGGCGUGCCUAACACAUGCAAGUCGAACGCGAAAGCCCCGCAAGGGGUAAGUAGAGUGGCAAACGGGUGAGUAACACGUGGGUGACCUGCCUUCGAGCGGGGGAUAACGUCCCGAAAGGGACGCUAAUACCGCAUGACAUCCUGCCUUUGAAGAGGCGGAGAUCAAAGCUGGGGAUCGCAAGACCUAGCACUCGAAGAGGGGCCCGCGCCUGAUUAGCCAGUUGGGGGUAACGGCUCACCAAGGCGACGAUCAGUAGCCGGCCUGAGAGGGCGGACGGCCACACUGGGACUGAGACACGGCCCAGACUCCUACGGGAGGCAGCAGUGGGGAAUCUUGCGCAAUGAGCGAAAGCUUGACGCAGCGACGCCGCGUGAGGGAAGAAGGCCU
This 400-nucleotide ribosomal RNA is filed under the name uncultured bacterium. Its description in RNAcentral is "bacterial SSU rRNA". It matches the Rfam family "Bacterial small subunit ribosomal RNA", at positions 29 to 417 of the family's 1533-position model. The record is from RNAcentral.